GAUGAAGAACGCAGUGAAAUGCGAUAAGUAAUGCGAAUUGCAGAAUUCCAGUGAGUCAUCGAAUCUUUGAACGCACAUUGCGCCCCCUGGUAUUCCGGGGGGCAUGCCUGUCCGAGCGUCAUUGCUGCCCUCAAGCACGGCUUGUGUGUUGGGCCUCCGUCCUCCUCCCGGGGGACGGGCCCGAAAGGCAGCGGCGGCACCGCGUCCGGUCCUCGAGCGUAUGGGGCUUCGUCACCCGCUCUUGUAGGCCCGGCCGGCGCUUGCCGACACAUCAAUCUUUUUUCCAGGUUGACCUCGGAUCAGGUAGGGAUACCCGCUGAACUUAAGCAUAUCAAUAAGCGGAGGA
RNAcentral lists this unclassified non-coding RNA (346 nucleotides) under soil metagenome. RNAcentral describes it as "partial contains 5.8S ribosomal RNA, internal transcribed spacer 2, and large subunit ribosomal RNA". The stretch from base 1 to 121 matches the Rfam family "5.8S ribosomal RNA", at positions 35 to 154 of the family's 154-position model. The record is from RNAcentral.